Molecule: RNA transcript, 1002 nt
Organism: Adelges cooleyi (spruce gall adelgid)
Lineage: Eukaryota; Metazoa; Arthropoda; Insecta; Hemiptera; Adelgidae
Exons: 5
Source: RefSeq, a predicted model, not a curated record
AUAACAGGUAAUGGAGCGCAAUUCUAUGCCGGUUAUCGCCAAUGAUACAGAUGCCCUCUUAUCUUGGUUGUCGCGGCCGUCCACACCACUCCGCCCUACUCCGCACGAUCUAUACUGGCAAUACUACCGGUCAGCUGUUCACACACACACACACACACACACAUAUACGCACCGGGUUAUACUAUGUAAACAAAUGUGCCACGCCCGUAUUAUCAGUGUUAGUAGUGCACUUGUUGCAUUCUUGUGAUUUUAAAGUAUAAUAUUAAUCUAGACUUUUUUGUGUGUUUUUCUUCAGUGUUUUUUAGUUUUAAGUGUUAUUAUAGUAUUUUUAAGCCAUAAGGGCACUGUGAUUUUUUAUUAUUGAGUUGUCAUAAGGACAAAAAAUUGUUUAUUAUUGUAUUUUUAAGCCAUAAGGGCAUUAUUGAGUUGUCAUAAGGACAAAAAACUAUUUUAAUAUUUUUGUUUUGUUGUUCACUUUACUUUGUGUCUAGUAUUAUUUAGGUUUAGGUAGCAGCCCUGGCCAGCGGUUUGCAGUUCUUCGGUUUGCUGUGAUAGUAAGAAAAGUCGAUGAAAUUUAUCACGAACCGAAUGGCAUUUACUACGAUGACUUUUUUGAAGCUUUGCACUCAAUAAAAGUGGUUACGAGAGCAACAGGAAAUAUCCCCAGCCUCGAUGAAUUUCUAAAGACAUUGGAAGAUCGUGAAUACACGUUAACAGAUUGUUUAAACAUCGUUAGAUUUAUUGUAGGUGACGAUACUCAGCAGGCUUAUGCAGAAGCAUUAUUUAAAAGAAAUGGAAAUACGAGUACUAUAAACUUUGUUCAAUUAAGUGUUGUCACUUAUGGUAUAAGAUUUCAACGCAAUAUGGAUAUAUCCAUUCAUAAAGAAGACCAAUUGAAAGCGGCUCUUUUAAAAUACACUUUUCCUAUUCAGACAAAAGAAGAUGCCAUUAGAACGAUUAUACAAAAUUUAAAUUUUGCAGUUUUAAAAUAAUACAUGUAUG